Molecule: ribosomal RNA, 2921 nt
Filed under: Staphylococcus aureus M0373
Lineage: Bacteria; Bacillati; Bacillota; Bacilli; Caryophanales; Staphylococcaceae
Description: bacterial LSU rRNA
Rfam family: Bacterial large subunit ribosomal RNA
Source: RNAcentral
UUAAGUUAUUAAGGGCGCACGGUGGAUGCCUUGGCACUAGAAGCCGAUGAAGGACGUUACUAACGACGAUAUGCUUUGGGGAGCUGUAAGUAAGCUUUGAUCCAGAGAUUUCCGAAUGGGGAAACCCAGCAUGAGUUAUGUCAUGUUAUCGAUAUGUGAAUACAUAGCAUAUCAGAAGGCACACCCGGAGAACUGAAACAUCUUAGUACCCGGAGGAAGAGAAAGAAAAUUCGAUUCCCUUAGUAGCGGCGAGCGAAACGGGAAGAGCCCAAACCAACAAGCUUGCUUGUUGGGGUUGUAGGACACUCUGUACGGAGUUACAAAGGACGACAUUAGACGAAUCAUCUGGAAAGAUGAAUCAAAGAAGGUAAUAAUCCUGUAGUCGAAAAUGUUGUCUCUCUUGAGUGGAUCCUGAGUACGACGGAGCACGUGAAAUUCCGUCGGAAUCUGGGAGGACCAUCUCCUAAGGCUAAAUACUCUCUAGUGACCGAUAGUGAACCAGUACCGUGAGGGAAAGGUGAAAAGCACCCCGGAAGGGGAGUGAAAUAGAACCUGAAACCGUGUGCUUACAAGUAGUCAGAGCCCGUUAAUGGGUGAUGGCGUGCCUUUUGUAGAAUGAACCGGCGAGUUACGAUUUGAUGCAAGGUUAAGCAGUAAAUGUGGAGCCGUAGCGAAAGCGAGUCUGAAUAGGGCGUUUAGUAUUUGGUCGUAGACCCGAAACCAGGUGAUCUACCCUUGGUCAGGUUGAAGUUCAGGUAACACUGAAUGGAGGACCGAACCGACUUACGUUGAAAAGUGAGCGGAUGAACUGAGGGUAGCGGAGAAAUUCCAAUCGAACCUGGAGAUAGCUGGUUCUCUCCGAAAUAGCUUUAGGGCUAGCCUCAAGUGAUGAUUAUUGGAGGUAGAGCACUGUUUGGACGAGGGGCCCCUCUCGGGUUACCGAAUUCAGACAAACUCCGAAUGCCAAUUAAUUUAACUUGGGAGUCAGAACAUGGGUGAUAAGGUCCGUGUUCGAAAGGGAAACAGCCCAGACCACCAGCUAAGGUCCCAAAAUAUAUGUUAAGUGGAAAAGGAUGUGGCGUUGCCCAGACAACUAGGAUGUUGGCUUAGAAGCAGCCAUCAUUUAAAGAGUGCGUAAUAGCUCACUAGUCGAGUGACACUGCGCCGAAAAUGUACCGGGGCUAAACAUAUUACCGAAGCUGUGGAUUGUCCUUUGGACAAUGGUAGGAGAGCGUUCUAAGGGCGUUGAAGCAUGAUCGUAAGGACAUGUGGAGCGCUUAGAAGUGAGAAUGCCGGUGUGAGUAGCGAAAGACGGGUGAGAAUCCCGUCCACCGAUUGACUAAGGUUUCCAGAGGAAGGCUCGUCCGCUCUGGGUUAGUCGGGUCCUAAGCUGAGGCCGACAGGCGUAGGCGAUGGAUAACAGGUUGAUAUUCCUGUACCACCUAUAAUCGUUUUAAUCGAUGGGGGGACGCAGUAGGAUAGGCGAAGCGUGCGAUUGGAUUGCACGUCUAAGCAGUAAGGCUGAGUAUUAGGCAAAUCCGGUACUCGUUAAGGCUGAGCUGUGAUGGGGAGAAGACAUUGUGUCUUCGAGUCGUUGAUUUCACACUGCCGAGAAAAGCCUCUAGAUAGAAAAUAGGUGCCCGUACCGCAAACCGACACAGGUAGUCAAGAUGAGAAUUCUAAGGUGAGCGAGCGAACUCUCGUUAAGGAACUCGGCAAAAUGACCCCGUAACUUCGGGAGAAGGGGUGCUCUUUAGGGUUAACGCCCAGAAGAGCCGCAGUGAAUAGGCCCAAGCGACUGUUUAUCAAAAACACAGGUCUCUGCUAAACCGUAAGGCGAUGUAUAGGGGCUGACGCCUGCCCGGUGCUGGAAGGUUAAGAGGAGUGGUUAGCUUCUGCGAAGCUACGAAUCGAAGCCCCAGUAAACGGCGGCCGUAACUAUAACGGUCCUAAGGUAGCGAAAUUCCUUGUCGGGUAAGUUCCGACCCGCACGAAAGGCGUAACGAUUUGGGCACUGUCUCAACGAGAGACUCGGUGAAAUCAUAGUACCUGUGAAGAUGCAGGUUACCCGCGACAGGACGGAAAGACCCCGUGGAGCUUUACUGUAGCCUGAUAUUGAAAUUCGGCACAGCUUGUACAGGAUAGGUAGGAGCCUUUGAAACGUGAGCGCUAGCUUACGUGGAGGCGCUGGUGGGAUACUACCCUAGCUGUGUUGGCUUUCUAACCCGCACCACUUAUCGUGGUGGGAGACAGUGUCAGGCGGGCAGUUUGACUGGGGCGGUCGCCUCCUAAAAGGUAACGGAGGCGCUCAAAGGUUCCCUCAGAAUGGUUGGAAAUCAUUCAUAGAGUGUAAAGGCAUAAGGGAGCUUGACUGCGAGACCUACAAGUCGAGCAGGGUCGAAAGACGGACUUAGUGAUCCGGUGGUUCCGCAUGGAAGGGCCAUCGCUCAACGGAUAAAAGCUACCCCGGGGAUAACAGGCUUAUCUCCCCCAAGAGUUCACAUCGACGGGGAGGUUUGGCACCUCGAUGUCGGCUCAUCGCAUCCUGGGGCUGUAGUCGGUCCCAAGGGUUGGGCUGUUCGCCCAUUAAAGCGGUACGCGAGCUGGGUUCAGAACGUCGUGAGACAGUUCGGUCCCUAUCCGUCGUGGGCGUAGGAAAUUUGAGAGGAGCUGUCCUUAGUACGAGAGGACCGGGAUGGACAUACCUCUGGUGUACCAGUUGUCGUGCCAACGGCAUAGCUGGGUAGCUAUGUGUGGACGGGAUAAGUGCUGAAAGCAUCUAAGCAUGAAGCCCCCCUCAAGAUGAGAUUUCCCAACUUCGGUUAUAAGAUCCCUCAAAGAUGAUGAGGUUAAUAGGUUCGAGGUGGAAGCAUGGUGACAUGUGGAGCUGACGAAUACUAAUCGAUCGAAGACUUAAUCAA